This is a long non-coding RNA of Cryptomeria japonica (Japanese cedar), 485 nucleotides long. RefSeq lists it as uncharacterized. Lineage: Eukaryota; Viridiplantae; Streptophyta; Pinopsida; Cupressales; Cupressaceae. The transcript is spliced from 2 exons. The record is from RefSeq and is a predicted model, not a curated record.
AAGGCGUUCGCUUUGUCGAACGCUGGGUUGAGACGAGUUCCAGCUUUCAUGGAUUCGCUAUACUCAUAUCAGUGAGCUGACUAUGAAAGCUCUUCGAAAAGUUAUUUGCUUGUGGUUAUUGUUUUCAUGAUGUCAUCGGAUGUGAGUAUUUAAUCUCAAAGUUUUUUUGUUUUAUCCAUAUUAGAUUUUUAUCACGUUCGGAGAACAAGGGCCUUCUACCAAAGUCCAUUAGGCUCUUGUCUGAUAAUUACGGAAAGGUUUGAGCUUAGAAUGGUUUGAUAAUGGACGGGUGAAAUUCUACAUUGUUUAAUCUUCAGUUUGCCAUAUAUAAUGUAUUAGAGUAGUCUAGAGGCUGAGGCCUUACUCAAGAGGAAACGCUGGUUUGACGUCUACUCUUGAUCUUGAUAUUGUAUCAUUGUGACAUAGCUUCCUUUACAGUCUCUAUAAUCAAAAUAAUAAAAUAUUCCCAAUGCUCUUCAAUUCUU